Molecule: ribosomal RNA, 253 nt
Filed under: uncultured bacterium
Lineage: Bacteria
Description: partial 16S ribosomal RNA
Rfam family: Bacterial small subunit ribosomal RNA
Source: RNAcentral
UACGAGGGGGGCAAAUGUUGUUCGGAAUCACUGGGCGUAAAGGGUGCGUAGGCGGGUCUUUAAGUCAGGGGUGAAAUCCUGGAGCUCAACUCCAGAACUGCCUUUGAUACUGAGGAUCUUGAGUCCGGGAGAGGUGAGUGGAACUGCGAGUGUAGAGGUGAAAUUCGUAGAUAUUCGCAAGAACACCAGUGGCGAAGGCGGCUCACUGGCCCGGUACUGACGCUGAGGCACGAAAGCGUGGGGAGCAAACAGG